RNAcentral lists this microRNA (22 nucleotides) under Plutella xylostella (diamondback moth). RNAcentral describes it as "pxy-miR-8533". The record is from miRBase by way of RNAcentral. Lineage: Eukaryota; Metazoa; Arthropoda; Insecta; Lepidoptera; Plutellidae.
UUCUAGAGGAUCUUGGGCGCGC